GCCUCAGUGGUCUAGUAGUAUGAUUCGCCCUUCGGGAGUUUCCCGUAAGCUGGAAUUUCACCAGUUUGCUUACUGGGUGAGGUCCUGGGUUCAAUUCCCAGCUGGGGCC
Ceratobasidium sp. 392 is the source of this 109-nucleotide non-coding RNA. NCBI's taxonomy places the organism in Eukaryota, Fungi, Basidiomycota, Agaricomycetes, Cantharellales, Ceratobasidiaceae. The record is from the annotation of a GenBank genome assembly.